RNAcentral lists this ribosomal RNA (422 nucleotides) under uncultured Hymenobacter sp. Its description in RNAcentral is "bacterial SSU rRNA". It matches the Rfam family "Bacterial small subunit ribosomal RNA", at positions 355 to 774 of the family's 1533-position model. Lineage: Bacteria; Pseudomonadati; Bacteroidota; Cytophagia; Cytophagales; Hymenobacteraceae. The record is from RNAcentral.
UAGGGAAUAUUGGGCAAUGGGCGAGAGCCUGACCCAGCCAUGCCGCGUGCAGGAUGAAGGCUUUCUGAGUCGUAAACUGCUUUUGCCAGGGAAGAAAAAGGGGGAUGCGUCCCCCACUGACGGUACCUGGUGAAUAAGCACCGGCUAACUCCGUGCCAGCAGCCGCGGUAAUACGGAGGGUGCAAGCGUUGUCCGGAUUUAUUGGGUUUAAAGGGUGCGUAGGCGGCCGUUUAAGUCUGGGGUGAAAGCCCACUGCUCAACAGUGGAACUGCCCUGGAAACUGGACGGCUUGAGUACAGACGAGGGUGGCGGAAUGGAUGGUGUAGCGGUGAAAUGCAUAGAUACCAUCCAGAACCCCGAUUGCGAAGGCAGCUGCCUAGACUGUAACUGACGCUGAGGCACGAAAGCGUGGGGAGCGAACA